CCCUUAGAUGUUCUGGGCCGCACGCGCGCUACACUGACGAAUGCAACGAGCUUAUAACCUUGGCCGAAAGGUCUGGGUAAUCUCCAAAUUUCGUCGUGAUGGGGAUAGAUUAUUGCAAUUAUUAAUCUUCAACGAGGAAUGCCUAGUAAGCGCGAGUCAUCAGCUCGUGCUGAUUACGUCCCUGCCCUUUGUACACACCGCCCGUCGCUCCUACCGAUUGAGUGUUCCGGUGAAUAAUUCGGACUGCAGCAGCGUGGGGACUCCUCAUGCUGCAGCGGAAAGUUUGGUGAACCUUAACACUUAGAGGAAGGAGAAGUCGUAACA
This 324-nucleotide ribosomal RNA is filed under the name uncultured eukaryote. Its description in RNAcentral is "partial 18S ribosomal RNA". It matches the Rfam family "Eukaryotic small subunit ribosomal RNA", at positions 1470 to 1796 of the family's 1831-position model. The record is from RNAcentral.